This is a non-coding RNA of Cinara cedri, 314 nucleotides long. The record is from the annotation of a GenBank genome assembly. Lineage: Eukaryota; Metazoa; Arthropoda; Insecta; Hemiptera; Aphididae.
CAGAGACCCUUCCCCAUUCAACGAGACUUAUAUAUCUAUAUAUGUAUAUAUGCAAUUUAUAUACCUCAGUCUUGAGAUUAAUUUCGUACUGAGAGGUAUACUAAAUUUUGUGGUCGGAUAAAGCUGUCCAACGCCAUCAUCAACAACGAUACUACAGAAUUCUGGUCUUUAAAUCAAUCUAUCUUAGGUUAAUUACUUCAUCUCGCCGACGUAUAUUAUUGAGACAUUUCCACGCCUCAAUUUUAUACCGUCGCUGAUAAAUGUAUUCGAAACCUUACUACUUAACUACCUUACUACCUUAUUCUAUUACUACC